Molecule: non-coding RNA, 86 nt
Organism: Phlebiopsis gigantea 11061_1 CR5-6
Lineage: Eukaryota; Fungi; Basidiomycota; Agaricomycetes; Polyporales; Phanerochaetaceae
Source: the annotation of a GenBank genome assembly
UCCCUGGUAGUAUAUCGGUUAGUACACGCGCCUGUCAUCAUUUCAGCGGUGCGCGCGAAAGCGGGGUUCGACUCCCCGCCAGGGAG